CACGUGGCAGGAGCGAGCUCAGAGCGGCAAGGAUCAUGUGGGGGAACAUAGUUUGUGUCCUGCCUUCUCCACCUUACCAGGAAAGGUUGUGUCUAAUGCAUAUUAGAAUUCAAAGUGAUUGCUGCUGAGUGAUCUGAUUUUCUCCCAGUUAGAGCUGGAGAAACAGAAACAAUUAUCUUCUUGAUUUUGGAGGAUGAAGACCUUUGUGAAUGCUGCUGUGUAUUUGGAAAUAUUGCUACAGAAAUACAUUUUUAAAGUUCCUGUAUAUUGAAAAAUAGCCCUGCAUAAACAAAUUAACAACCACCACCCCCGGCCUGUCUGCUGUGGCUAAUCAUCUAGGAAGUGGGGAGGUGGCUGAAGAUGGGAAGGGAGGCAGCCUUGCAUUGCCGGGCAUUUGGCUUGGGAAUCUUGCAAGACUUGAUAUGAACAGAGGACCUAUGGACACCCUAGUUCUUACCUUCUGUAACCUGCCUUAUGUCAAUAAAAAUGCAUUUUUUUAAAAAAGCAGCUGCCAGCUUGGAAGACCACUGCCCCCAGCUCUCUGACAUUGCCUAAUUAACACUCUGCAUUUUACCUGCCCCUCGAUUUGACCUGCAAGUUCAAAUGAGAACUUUUGUCUCAGCCUUAAUAUUACAAUCAUGCCCACCAUACUAGGUUUAAUAGGUAACAGGGCUGGUUCCAGGUUGCCCAAGUGAGCCCUGCAUAAAGACCUGUGCUGGCCCUUCUGCUAGUGUGUUGCACCAUCUUAGUUGUUU
Hemicordylus capensis (graceful crag lizard) is the source of this 755-nucleotide long non-coding RNA. RefSeq lists it as uncharacterized. The transcript has 3 exons. Lineage: Eukaryota; Metazoa; Chordata; Lepidosauria; Squamata; Cordylidae. The record is from RefSeq and is a predicted model, not a curated record.